AUGCUCCUGGUGUUCCUCCCAGUGCUGGGGAUACACUUUCUCCUAAGAGAAGCCCAAGCUCAGUCAGUGACUCAGCCUGAUGCUCAUGUCACUGUCUCUGAAGAAACCUGUCUGCAGCUGAGAUGCAAGUUUUCCUCCCCUGGGGCACCUUAUCUGUUCUGGUAUGUCCAGUACCCAGGACAAGGGCUGCAGCUGCUCCUCAAGUACUAUUCAGGAGACCCAGUGAUUCAAAGAGUGAAUGGCUUUGAGGCUGAGUUCAACGAGAGUGAUUCUUCCUUCCACCUGCGGAAAGCCUCUGUGCACUGGAGCGACUCGGCUGUGUACUUCUGCGCUCUUAACACAGUGUGUGGGGCUGUAGGGGUAGCUGAACACAAACACCCAUGA
This is a non-coding RNA of Grammomys surdaster, 384 nucleotides long. Lineage: Eukaryota; Metazoa; Chordata; Mammalia; Rodentia; Muridae. The record is from the annotation of a RefSeq genome assembly.